CAUUACCCACCGCCAGGCGGGAUCAAUCACUGACU
RNAcentral lists this ribosomal RNA (35 nucleotides) under Oxalis rhombeo-ovata. Its description in RNAcentral is "partial 26S ribosomal RNA". Lineage: Eukaryota; Viridiplantae; Streptophyta; Magnoliopsida; Oxalidales; Oxalidaceae. The record is from RNAcentral.